This 204-nucleotide unclassified non-coding RNA is filed under the name uncultured Thelephoraceae. RNAcentral describes it as "sequence contains ITS1". The record is from RNAcentral. Lineage: Eukaryota; Fungi; Basidiomycota; Agaricomycetes; Thelephorales; Thelephoraceae.
CCGAACUGUCAACACGAGUUGUUGCUGGUCCUCAAAUGGGGGGGCAUGUGCACACUCUGUUUACACAUCCAUUCACACCUGUGCACACUCUGUAGUUCUAUGGUGUGGGGGGCUCUCUGUCCUCCUGCCGUGGUUCUAUGUCUUUACACACACACUGUAACAAAAGUCUCAUGGAAUGUAUACCGCGUUUAACGCAAUACAAUA